AGACGUGGAAGGCAAGCUGGGAUAAAAACAUCUUGGAUGGAUAUUAAUCCUGGGCGUCAAUUUUACACCUGCGUGCAAUUGCGUUCUCGGUGCAAAUUCUUUGCGUGGAUCGACCCUCCCAUGUGUCCUCGGUCAGUUCAAGUCAUCCGAGGUUUGAUGGAUACGAAAGCAUUACUUGAAAACGAAGUCAAGUUUUUGAGAGAGGAGGUUCGAAUGUAUAAAGAGCAAGUAGCAGAAAUGGAAAAUAAAAAUCCAAGGGUCGUUCUUAAUAGGGACACCUGUUUGAUAAUCUGUUGGAUUUUGUUUUUUUUGUCCGUAUUUGUAUUUGUCGUUAGCCGUAUUUAAGUUUAUGCAACUUAUGUAAACGAAUGUAAUGACUCUCGUAUUUUGGUUAUUUAGCGGAAUGUUAUGUCU
This is a long non-coding RNA of Helianthus annuus (common sunflower), 414 nucleotides long. RefSeq lists it as uncharacterized. The record is from RefSeq and is a predicted model, not a curated record. NCBI's taxonomy places the organism in Eukaryota, Viridiplantae, Streptophyta, Magnoliopsida, Asterales, Asteraceae. The transcript has 2 exons.